GAUCACAAAAUUUUCAAGACAGAAGACACGCAGCAAAUCGAAGAUUUCAAAUCAAAUCUUGGCUACUUCAAGUAAAAAGAUUAAGAGAGAAAAACGAUGAAGCUUGAACUCGUAAUUUUGAUUAUGCUAGUUGCAGUACACAUGGGGUCUGCGGGAUGGUGCUGGGAUAAAAGGUGUGGCAUAAAAAACUUGAUCGUUACAGCACCGUGUUGCGACAACUGUACAAAUACGCGUUAUACAACGAAAGUGCUGCUUUGUCACACCGACUGGCAUUACUGCGGCCGCAAACGGUCUGUUUCCCCGCCCAAAGUUCAAGUCGAAGUCGGUUUCCCCUGCGAUUUCACAAAGUACGACCGCGACGAUGAUGGAUCAAUCAGCUUGGAUGAGCUCAUGAAGACCACAAGCUUGUCAGUAAAAGACGCGACCGCCAUUCUCAACUUUGUUGACGAGGACGGCAGUGGUGGAAUUGAUUGCAAGGAGUUCAAGAAUGCACUAUUGGAAUUUCAAUGUAACCCUAUUGGUUGUGACAGCAAUGGCAAACGCCAAGCAGACGAACCUUGGAAUAUUGAGUAAGCCCGCAUCUGCUUCUCAUAUCAUAUUUCAUACUUGAUUGGAAGAUAAACAUUAAUGAUAAAUAUCGUAGUUUUAUUUCCUGGUAAUAUUUCUUGUGAUUGUUCAAAUAUUACCAAUAAUUAGUCGUCAGUAAGGACAUAAUAAAAGCAGCAUAUAAAAACAUUGA
Long non-coding RNA from Dendronephthya gigantea, 739 nucleotides. RefSeq lists it as uncharacterized. The transcript is spliced from 2 exons. NCBI's taxonomy places the organism in Eukaryota, Metazoa, Cnidaria, Anthozoa, Malacalcyonacea, Nephtheidae. The record is from RefSeq and is a predicted model, not a curated record.